Molecule: ribosomal RNA, 954 nt
Filed under: Phacus swirenkoi
Lineage: Eukaryota; Euglenozoa; Euglenophyceae; Euglenales; Phacaceae
Description: eukaryotic LSU rRNA
Rfam family: Eukaryotic large subunit ribosomal RNA
Source: RNAcentral
CGGGACCAGCUGGCUGGUACCAUGAGGUGACUUCUGCCCAGUGCUCUGAUUGUCAAUGCGAAGAGAUUCAGCCAAGCGCGGGUCAACGGCGGGAGUAACUAUGACUCUCUUAAGGUAGCCAAAUGCCUCGUCAACCAAUUAUUGACGCGCAUGAAUGGAUCAACGAGAUUCCUGCUGUCCCUAGGUGCUGUCUGGUGAACCAACAGCCAAGGGAACGGGCUUGGAUGUGUCAGCGGGGAAAGAAGACCCUGUUGAGUUUGACUCUAGUUUGAUGCUGUGCAACAACAUGGAGGGUGUAGCACAGGUGGGAGGCAAGUGCCAUCAAGAGAGCUGUCCAGAUGGGGAAGCAGGGUGAAACCUGUGACCUCUACUGGCUGUCCCUGAGCAAUUGGUGCAAGCCAGCAGUGAAAUACCACUACCUUCACCGUUGUUUUACUCAUCGAGUGGCUUGGGAACAGUGGCCGUCAGACAAUCAGUCACUGCACUCUGUGGUGGCUGGGGCCUUGACCUGAUUCGUGCUUCAAGCACUGCACUCUGUGUGGUGUGCCUCCAGUGGGCUUCACUGGUCUUUGGAUUGGUGCCUCGGGACAAUGAUCAGUUGGGGAGUUUGGCUGGGGCGGCACGCCUGUUACAGCACAACGCAGGCGUCCUGAAGCAUUGCUCAGAUGGAACAGAACUCUGCCAUGGAGGAGCAGGCCAAAGGUGCUGCUGAUGCUGUGGCUUCCAGUACAAGCCCAAAACGUGCAAGUGUGGCCUAUCGAUCCUUUGGAUCCCAUUCGGGUUCUGGAUAUUGAAGCCAGAGGUGUCAGAAAAAUUACCACAGGGAUAACUGGCUUGUGGCUGCCAAGCGUUCACAGCGACGUUGCUUUUUGAUCCUUCGAUGUCGGCUCUUCCUAGCUUCCCACCCGCAGACGAGUGGAAGAGUUGGAUUGUUCACCCACCAACAGGGAACGG